This 253-nucleotide ribosomal RNA is filed under the name uncultured bacterium. RNAcentral describes it as "partial 16S ribosomal RNA". It matches the Rfam family "Bacterial small subunit ribosomal RNA", at positions 524 to 776 of the family's 1533-position model. The record is from RNAcentral.
UACGUAGGUGGCGAGCGUUGUCCGGAUUUAUUGGGCGUAAAGCGCGCGCAGGUGGUGCGGUAAGUCUGUCGUGAAAUCUCCCGGCUCAACUGGGAGGGUGCGGUGGAGACUGCCGGACUGGAGGCACUCAGAGGCCGGUGGAAUUCCCGGUGUAGUGGUGAAAUGCGCAGAUAUCAGGAGGAACACCGGUGGCGAAGGCGGUUCUCUGGGCAUGUCCUGACGCUGAGGAGCGAAAGCGUGGGGAGCGAACAGG